AUCCGUGGCAAUGCCUCCCAGGCUUGGGAGCUGGGAAAAGGCCCCAGGAGCUAGGGCAUCCUGAUUGUUCUUUCAAAGAAAUCCCUCUUGUUCUUAGUCAACAUGCUGGAUACCAGCUAAAAAAUGCAAAAUGAUCUUCAGGCAGGGAUGGCACAGGACCCUUGCUGAGCUGUGAAGCCUGGCUGUGAGGAUUCCUGCAUGGAAACAUCAACAUGUUGCCAGAUUGGUAUACGACUCAACACCACACUGUUUGAUUGGAGUUGAGCUGAUCUUGUCUGAACCUAGCUGGGCCUGGUCCGGGGCGGCAAAUUAGAUUCAGACAUGCUGCUCCCAAACAGUGCCUUUGAAUCAAGACCCAGUCAUCGUAUUCGAAGAAAAAGGAAAUAUCCCUGACCAUGUUGGGACUUAACACUGCUUCACAGAGUCCAUGGAGUUCCUGGUGACUAAUGCCAUCCACAAGAUCUGAAGGUGUUGUGUAACCUAGACCUGGCCCUUCUCUCAGUGCAUCCCCCUCUCCAGAGUGACCAACUCAGAGAGGUCAUGUGCUUAAGGGUGAGAACCACUACAGGACAAAAAUGAGCUCCUUUUUUCCAGUCUCAGCCCAGGAGGGAUCUUCACAGAGAAAGCAAGCCCAGCCCAUCCCCACAGCUGGCUCCCUGGUGCCCAUUCUGAAAGGCUGGACCCAUCCUGACCUGUCCCUGCCCCAAGGACUGCCUGGUGAGGGAUGGCUUACCAACACUGUGACUCAGUCCUUCCAACAUGCCCAACAGGUCAAUUCUGGGAUAUUCCUUACAGGAAUUAAUGAGAGCACAUUGCCGGUAAUGUUGGCAUUAGUAGAUUACAUUUAAAUUUAAAAAUUCCUUUUAUGGGGUUUAAGAAUAGAGACAAGACACCCAUGCAAUAAAGAAAGGAGGAGACUUUGCCUGGUCUAAUGGAGAAGCUGGAGCUGCAUUGUUGGGUACAGUGGCCAGUGGCUACACCUGGCUUUUGAGCCCUUGCACAGUGGCAAGGACACAUUGAGAUGUGCCCUAGGUGCAAGAUACACACAGGAUUUCAAAGACUGAGUAUGAAAAAAGAAGAAAAAAUGUCUCAUUAAUAUUUUUAUAUUGGUUGCAUGUGGAAGUGAUAACAUUUUGGAUAUAAAGUUGACCUUUGAACAGUAUGGGUUUGAACUGCACAGGUCUGCUUAUAAGUGAAAUUUCUUCUGCCUCUGCCACCCCUGAGACAGCAAGACCAACCCUCCACUUCCUCCUCCUCCUCCUCCUCCUCAACCUGCUCAACGUGAAGAUGAUGAAGAUCAAGACCUUCAUGAUGAUCUACUUCCACUUAAUGAAUAGUAAAUAUAUUUUCUCUUCCUUGUGAUUUUCUUAAUAACGUUUUCUUUCCUCUAGCUUAUUUUGUUGUAAGGAUACAGUGGUAUAUAAUAUUUAUAACAUACAAAAUAUGUGUUAACCAACUCUGCUAUCAGUAAGGCUUCUGAUCAACAGUAUGCUAACAUUUUUGGACAGUAGUUAAGUUUGGGCAGAGUCAAAAGUUAUAGGCAGAUUCUUGAUUGUGUGGGGUAUUGGCAUCCCUAAUCUCUGCACUGUUCAAGGGUAAACUGCAUUAGCUGAAAUAAAGCAUAUUCUUAAAAUGAA
Long non-coding RNA from Homo sapiens (human), 1637 nucleotides. Lineage: Eukaryota; Metazoa; Chordata; Mammalia; Primates; Hominidae. The record is from Ensembl.